GCUGAGGAAAGGCUCCAUUUUUAUUUAUUUUCUUUUUCUAUUCAGUCAGGCAGGUGUUAGGGGGAGCCCUACCUUCCACCCAGGAUGCCCAGAUCGGGAGGAUCCAGGUCAGGAAGGUCUGGAGGACAUUUGGACACAGACACAGGCCAUGUGAGCAUGAAGGCAGAGACUGGGAGAUGCAUCUAGAAGCCAAGGAACGUGGAAGAUGGCCAGCAAACUGCCAGACACAGAGGGAGAGGCCUGGAGCAGUCUCCCUUAUAGCCCCAGGAGGAACCAACCCUGUUUGCACGUUGCUGUUGGACUUCUGGCCUCCAGAACUGGGAGACAACACGUUUUGGUGGCUUAAGCCACCAACGAUAUUCAUGCAGCCCCUGUGGAGGUCAAGGGAUUUGUUCCAGAGCUCUGGGCAAGUCACUUUGCUUUUUGAGGCUUCCUAGCCUGUAAAGUGGGGAGUGGCAGCUGUCUGCAGCUGUCAAGAUCAAAUGAGGUAAAGAAGUCUGAAGAGAGGGGAGGCGGAGACGCUGACCUCCAUUUCUGCCCUGCUUCUGCCACUCCCUAGCUCAUGGCCACUUGCCCGCUACUUAAUAAUAGUAGUUACCUCCCAGGAUGGUUUGGGACCAGCGGCGUUAUUUGAUAGAAAUCACCUGGAGAGCAGCAGCGCUCCCCAGAGUUUUGCAGUUCUUGUUCAUGACAGAGCCCAGCGGAGGGUCCAAGCGUGAGGGAGGAACGUCAAGGGCAGUGUGGCGGGUGCAGGAGCUGGAGGGGGCUUGGGGUUUGGUGGUUGACCUUCGACCUUCUCCAACAGAGAUGCAAAUGUUACAGAUGGGGUCUGGGGACAGCCAAGUGGGGAGAGGUGGACUGGAGUUGAGUGUGCUCUGGUUUGGAAGUGAGACCUUGACUUGUGGUGGCCUCACCCUGUUUGGGUGACAUCUCUGUUCAGAGCUAAGCCCCAGGGACACAUGGCAAGGAAGACAGAUGGGAGUGGUGGCAGUCGGGAGCCUCGGCGAGAUUCUAUCUGGUGCUGGGCUGGAGCCGGGGAAUGGGACCUUCUUCUGACAGCUCUCUGGCUGCUUCCGAUGGAAAAGAAGCUGAUCUGUGCGAUGCGGGCUUGAACCCACAUUGACCAGAGACUUUGCAGCCAGCUCACCCCUCCAAAUCCCCGCCCUGGAGUCCCUGACCCAGGAAUUUCUGCAUCAGGCUGCUCAAACCUGAAUUUGACAAAAUUUCAAAGCGCUGUAUCUUUAUGUUGAUAAGACAACGGAUAAAGUGCCAUACUUGGAACCUAGAUCACUCAAUGUUGCCUGUAGCUGAGUCCACUUCUGUCACUCACCCUGCAUUGCCCUGCCAGGAGCAAGGGAGAGAAAGCCAGCCAGAAGGCAUGGGCAUGGGCUCAAAUCUGGCUUCUCCUGUGGCCACUGUGAAAGUUGAUCAUACAAAGGUCACUGUUGUCAUAGCCAAGCAGAGUUAUGAGACCACAGGAAAAAGCACUUGGACCACGUAACAUUGCUCCAAGAGUAUAACUGUCUCCAACCCUGGCUGCUGGAACAAGUGUUGCAACCUGAAACCGGUUUGAUCUAAUAGCUACAGAAACAACCUGCGGAAAUCUAAGACUAGUUUCACCCACUCACCAAUCAGAGCUUGCCGGAUCCCCAAAACGUUGCUAGUGCUAAUGAACUUGCUUUCCUAACAAUCCAUAACAUUUCUCAUUUUUAUGAAACCUACAACCUUCUCUUUGCUCUUUGGACAUACUGAAGACCACCCAGUCUGUGUGUAUGCCCCAAACUGAAAUUCUUGCUCCCCAAAUAAAACAUUUUAAACUUA
RNAcentral lists this long non-coding RNA (1821 nucleotides) under Homo sapiens (human). Its description in RNAcentral is "HSALNT0300402". Lineage: Eukaryota; Metazoa; Chordata; Mammalia; Primates; Hominidae. The record is from RNAcentral.